CACUAGCGUAUACUAAAGUUGUUGCUGUUAAAAAGCUCGUAGUUGGAUAUCAGUCUGAAACGCUAGACCCAGUUGUGUAAACAACUGCGUGUCAAGGCGCUUGCGCUAUCGCGUUUUUGACUUAAUUCAGGAGUGGCGGUCUGCCCAUUCACUUGGGAUGGGUCGUCGUGUCCUGAUCUUUUACUUUGAGAAAAUUAAGGUGCUCAAAGCAGGCCAUCGCCUGCAUGCAUUAGCAUGGAAUAAUAAAUCACGACUUUGGCAUCGGCCGGUUCGCCGGCCGAGCGUUUUGUUGGUUUUGAGCCGAAGUAAUGAUUGAUAGGAACAUCUGGGGGUGCUAGUAUCGCCGGGCCAGAGGUAAAAUUCUAUGAUUCCGGUGAGACUAACUUAUGCGAAAGCAUUCACCAAGUGUGCUUCCUUUAAUCAAGAACUAAAGUUGAGGGAUCAAAGACGAUUAGAUACCGU
This 462-nucleotide ribosomal RNA is filed under the name uncultured eukaryote. RNAcentral's name for it is "bacterial SSU rRNA". It matches the Rfam family "Eukaryotic small subunit ribosomal RNA", at positions 592 to 1018 of the family's 1831-position model. The record is from RNAcentral.